RNAcentral lists this ribosomal RNA (294 nucleotides) under uncultured Sandonidae. RNAcentral's name for it is "partial 18S ribosomal RNA". The stretch from base 107 to 294 matches the Rfam family "Eukaryotic small subunit ribosomal RNA", at positions 738 to 955 of the family's 1831-position model. Lineage: Eukaryota; Cercozoa; Glissomonadida; Viridiraptoridae. The record is from RNAcentral.
GAUUUCUGGUCUAAUGCACCUGGCCCGCUGCCGUAAGGCGUGUGAGUGCCGGCGCGCGUUUACCAUCCUUCUAGAAAACAAUUCUGCCAUUAACUUGGUUGGGAUUGCGAUCUAGAUCUUUUACUUUGAAAAAAUUAGAGUGUUUCAAUCAGGCUCUUGCUAUGAAUACAUUAGCAUGGUGGAAUAAUAAUCUAGGACUUCGGUUCUAUUUUGUUGGUUUCUAGAACUGAAGUAAUGAUUGAUAGGGACGGUUGGGUGCUAGUAUUGGUCAAGACUAACUUAUGCGAAAGCAUU